This 1014-nucleotide long non-coding RNA is filed under the name Equus caballus (horse). Its description in RNAcentral is "lncRNA (ENSECAG00000043016.2)". Lineage: Eukaryota; Metazoa; Chordata; Mammalia; Perissodactyla; Equidae. The record is from RNAcentral.
GAUUGAUAGGUGCUAGGUAGCCAGAGAACAGUGUGAAGAGCAUAAAAAGAAUGGGCAAGGCACAGCAGUAAAGAGACAGAGUGCUCUAAAUCCAAGAACUGUGCAUUAUUCUGCAUAGGUGAAGAGUAGAGUGGAUGUGGGAAGUCAUAAGGGCUGAGACUAGAGAUGUAGGCAGGGACAAGAUGAUGCAAAGUCUCAUACAACAUUCUGAGGAAGACGUUUACCCUGAAAGAGAUUUUCUGUCAACUGUCUUCAUUUUCACCGUAAGAUUGAUAAGGACAUUUCUAAUUCAUUGGGCAUAGCAUUUUACUUCAUAAAAUCUGCAGUUUAAUUUCUUUGUUAAAAAAUGAACUGCACAGCAAAAGCAUGUGAGGAUAAGGAUUUCUGAAUGCUGUCAUGCACACCCUGGUGUUCCCAGCACCGAGCCAUUAAUGCAUCACUGCUGUCCUGUGCUGGAUGAGGGAGGAGAGAGAGUUAAGAGAAGCAGCUGGCUAAGGAGAGCCCCAGGGAUGAGCUCCCAGAGACACUUACCUGGAAAGAAGAAAGCAAUAGCCUUCAUCAUGUCUAGUCCCCUCUUGGCUCCCUGCACUGAAAUCCCAGGGAUCAGCUUGUUGCUGGACAUGCCACUAACUUCUGUGUCAAUGUACACAAACCCAGCACAGUUGCACAAGCUGCUACAAGUGAUGUCCACUAUGUUUGCAUUUCAAACAGGAAGAAAGGAGAAAGGGACAAUAUCAGCAAAAAAAGAAAACUAAAGAAAAGAGUCCAUUUUAUCAGGGAAGCAAAAUUUCCCACAGAAGCUCCCCCAAAAUUCUACUUAUGUCUCAAGUGUGGAAGAACAGUGUUACAUUAAUACACUCAACUGCAAAAGAGACUUAGAAAGGCAAGGAAGAGAGGCUUUGGGGUUGGGGUUUGGUUAGGCUCGCAAGAGUGUCUGCCUACGAAGUGGCAGGACCUGAAGUCAAAGAUACAAUGCUCAGCAGACUCUCCCCUCAAGCUCUUCAAACUAAACUG